Cyprinus carpio carpio is the source of this 3178-nucleotide long non-coding RNA. NCBI's taxonomy places the organism in Eukaryota, Metazoa, Chordata, Actinopteri, Cypriniformes, Cyprinidae. The record is from Ensembl.
AUAUAUAUAUAUAAAAUUAGCACAACUUUUUCAAGCAUUGAUAAUAAGCAUGAAAUCAGCAUUAUAUGAUUUCUGAAGGAUCAUGUGACACUGAAGACUGGAGUAAUGGGAGUAGAAAAUUUUGCUUUGCAUCACAGAAAUAAAUUACAUUUUAAAGGAUAUAAAAAUAGUAAAAAGUAAAUUAAUUUGUAAUAAUAUUUCACAAUAUUAUUGUUUUUUCUGAAUUUGAUUAAAUAAAUGCUUUCAAAAGCAUUAAAAAUAGUAAUGUUUCCAGACAAGAUAAAAAAAUAAAAAUAAAAACUGAUUCAAUUUGGCCCCCCUCUCCAUUAUACUGUUGAAAGUGCUUUUGCUUUUAAGAUUAAUAUUUUGUAUUAAAUCAAAUUUGAUGAUUACUCGAAUAUCAUGUUUAUAUUAAACUUAUUUUUUUUGUUAUAUAUAUAUAUAUAUAUAUAUAUAUGUGUGUGUGUGUGUGUGUGUGUGUGUGUGUGUGUGUGUGUGUGUGUGUAAUGAAACUAAACUCAACAUAUGGUAAAAAAAUUGUAAAAUCUUCCCACUUAGUUACAUUUGGAUGUAGUAACGUAUAAGUAUUUAUAGUUAAAUUCAGGCUAAAUCAAUGGCAUGCACUGUCUACACCCAACUAUGACCAUAGGAACAAUUUUAUGAACCACAUUUUUCUUCAAACACAGGAGGUGAAAUAUUAUUGUGAUUUGACCAAAAAGCUACUUUAACUGUCGCGCCUAUUGUUUUUGCGGUCCACUUAAAGACUUUUCAGUGUGUUUUCCUGGUUUUCAACACUACAAUCAGUUUUGAUUAAACUCCAGUGCAAUAGGUGGCGGUAUGCAUAGUGCUGCCCCUCAGUAAACAGGAGAACAGGAGGUUGGGCUAUUUCCGCUUUAGAAUAUGCGCACAGAAUGGCAAGCGGACGCAUCGCUGGAAAACACAGAGAGAGAAAGCCCUAUAAAAGGGAGGCUUGUUGUUAUUUCGGAUUCUCAGACUGGCUAUGAAACAAUCCGUUUGUGAAGAGACAGAUGCUGAAACCCAUCAUAACAUUGGAGGAUUUUGGGCCAUACUUACAUGUGAGUCAAAAUAUAUAAUUGGCCAAUUUCACAAGAAUCAGAAAUGUGACACUGAGGGAUGUUAGUUAUAUUAUGAUUCACUGCCAAUUGCAGUAAUAUGCGCUUUUCUCAAAUAAUCCUUCUUACCUUUUCUGUAUUGUCUUUUCUCAAACUUGCUGUUAAAUAAUUUUUACUUGUUUGUAUCUUAAACGGCCACUCAUACCAUGCUUGAUUGCCAAAUUUUUAAUUGUGUUGAAUUUUUAUCUGACAAAUAGGUGUCAUCUGGCUGGAAAUGACACAAAAAGGUGACAAAAGAAAGUAAUUUUGUCAGAGAUUUUUUUUUUCAUCUACAGAACAUUCCAUGUUCACAGCUAUUCACACUCUUUCUCAAAAAAAAAAAAAACUGUGUAAAAGUCUUCAUUUUUCAUCACAGCAGUUAUUUUGCACAUUUCCACUGGGAUUUUGGACCACUCCUCUGCAAAGAUCUCCAGGUCCUUGAUGUUGGAAGGCUUCCUGUCCAUCAAUCUGGUCUUCAGUUGUCUUAACACAUUUUCAAUUGGAUUCAGGACUGGACUCUGGCUUGGACCACUUUUGAUGUGUGUUGUGGGUCGUUAGAUAACUCGUAACAUACAGCAAAAGGGGUCAAGAAAUGGUUGGCAGAGAACAAUAUCAAUAUUUUAGAGUGGCCAAGUUUCAAACUCUGCUCUAGUUUGUCUUCAUUUUUCAUAUUGCCUGUGCAUAAUUUUGCUGGCUUCCAUGGCAGCUAACACUAUAAAUCAGGGGUCACCACACUCAUUACUGGAGGACCAGUGUUCUGCAGAGUUUAGCUCAAACUUGCCGCAGUUCACCUGCCUGAAAGUUUUUAGUAUACCUGGCAAGACUUUGAUUAGCUAGUUCAGGUGUGUUUAAUUAGGGUUGGAGCUAAACUCUGCAAGGCACCAGCCCUCCAGGACCAAGUUUGGUGACCCCUACUAUAAAUAAAUGCAUAAUCGCUUACUUUAAUGUUCUCUGUAUUUACUUCUGUAUGACUCAGUGCUGUGUGACGUUUUCAAGAAUUGGGCUAUUUUUUUUUCUUUGUUGCUGUAGGUUGUUUUUAAAGUCUGUGGGUUGAAGUGACCUCACUAAUGCGAUAUUAAGGGCCAUUUUCAAACAUGUAUAACAUUUUCUGUGUAUAUAUGCAUAGUUCAUUUAUUUAUUUAUUGCCCUAGUUGCUUGGAAUUUGCUUGGUGAGCUCAUCAACAUACAUUAAAAUACAUACAUACACAUACAUAAAUCCAACUAUACAUGGGAAAAUUAAGGAAGCAUUCACAAACAAACUAACAAUCGAUGCUAAUUGCUGUCUAAUUUAUUUCUGUGUUCCAGUGCCUGGUGUUCUAAGGUUCACUUCUUGGCUUGAUGAAUGAAGUUUUAGCAAUCUCAACAAUGGACUCGUUUCCUUCCUUUUUGGUGUCUCCUGUACUUUCUGUUUGGAGGUCAUUGCAUGUGUCUGAUUGAGCAACUGUCAUUAUGCAUUUCUGUUUGCAGUGCUUUGCUUAAAUUUUGAACCCUUAGCAACAAUAAAAGUCUUUGGAGUUUUCCAUUUGGGUUGUGGUUGUACAUGUUUUCCUUGAUUUAAUAUCCUUAUGGAUAUGUGCAAUGCAACAAUUUAUUUCACACUAAAAAAAAUGAACCAGCUAUAAACACUUUUUUUUUUGAGCUGCAUGUGGUAUAGCAGUCUUAAAUGCAAUAACUAAAAUAAUAAUUUUCCUAAAUAACUUUUCUUGUUGGCUUAUCAACAGUUUAAUAUGUAAAUGGAAAUAAUUAAUUUAAUGGUCUUACCUGUUAUUUUCCACUUUUCUUUUGUUCACGUUUUCCUUGGCUGCAUUCAUCACUCUAUAGCAUUCUUUAAGAACUCCUGGGAUGCAACCUUAUUUUCUUCAUGCAUGAAUGAGUGAAUGAAUGAAUGAUGCAUUUAUAUAGCGUUUUAUUCUGUAUUGUUGUACACCCAAAGCGCUUUACAUCAUGUGGGGGGGUCUCUCCUCAACCACCACCAGCAUGCAGCAUCCACCUGGCUGAUGCAACGGCAGCCACAGGACAACGGCACCAGUGCGCUCACCACACACCAUGGGGAAUGCAUAAACCUA